Molecule: ribosomal RNA, 250 nt
Filed under: uncultured prokaryote
Description: partial 16S ribosomal RNA
Rfam family: Bacterial small subunit ribosomal RNA
Source: RNAcentral
UACGUAGGGUGCAAGCGUUAUCCGGAUUUACUGGGUGUAAAGGGCGUGCAGCCGGGAGUGCAAGUCAGAUGUGAAGUGCAGGGGCUUAACCCCUGAACUGCAUUUGAAACUGUACUUCUUGAGUACCGGAGGGGCAAUCGGAAUUCCUAGUGUAGCGGUGAAAUGCGUAGAUAUUAGGAGGAACACCAGUGGCGAAGGCGGAUUGCUGGACGGCAACUGACGGUGAGGCGCGAAAGUGUGGGGAGCAAAC